This 392-nucleotide ribosomal RNA is filed under the name uncultured Planctomycetales bacterium. RNAcentral's name for it is "bacterial SSU rRNA". It matches the Rfam family "Bacterial small subunit ribosomal RNA", at positions 375 to 757 of the family's 1533-position model. The record is from RNAcentral. Lineage: Bacteria; Pseudomonadati; Planctomycetota; Planctomycetia; Planctomycetales.
CCGAAAGGGUGACGAAGCGACGCCGCGUGGGUGAGGAAGGCCUUCGGGUUGUAAAGCCCUGUCAGGAGUUAAGAAAUGUAAGUGCGCUAAUAUCGCAUUUAUUUGACGAAGGCUCCAAAGGAAGUCACGGCUAACUCUGUGCCAGCAGCCGCGGUAAUACAGAGGUGGCAAGCGUUGUUCGGAAUUAUUGGGCGUAAAGAGCACGUAGGUGGGUUUGUAAGUCAGAUGUGAAAGCCUUCUGUUCAACGGAAGAAUUGCAUCUGAAACUGCGAGUCUUGAGUGUAGGAGGGGAGAAUGGAACUUCUGGUGGAGCGGUGAAAUGCGUAGAUAUCAGAAGGAACGCCGGCGGCGAAAGCGAUUCUCUGGCCUAUUACUGACACUCAGUGUGCGAA